This 497-nucleotide ribosomal RNA is filed under the name uncultured bacterium. RNAcentral describes it as "partial 16S ribosomal RNA". It matches the Rfam family "Bacterial small subunit ribosomal RNA", at positions 28 to 507 of the family's 1533-position model. The record is from RNAcentral.
GAUGAACGCUGGCGGCGUGCCUAAUACAUGCAAGUCGAGCGAACAGACGAGGAGCUUGCUCCUCUGACGUUAGCGGCGGACGGGUGAGUAACCCGUGGAUAACCUACCUAUAAGACUGGGAUAACUUCGGGAAACCGGCGCUAAUACCGGAUAAUAUAUUGAACCGCAUGGUUCAAUAGUGAAAGACGGUUUUGCUGUCACUUAUAGAUGGAUCCGCGCCGCAUUAGCUAGUUGGUAAGGUAACGGCUUACCAAGGCAACGAUGCGUAGCCGACCUGAGAGGGUGAUCGGCCACACUGGAACGGAGACACGGUCCAGACUCCUACGGGAGGCAGCAGUAGGGAAUCUUCCGCAAUGGGCGAAAGCCUGACGGAGCAACGCCGCGUGAGUGAUGAAGGUCUUCGGAUCGUAAAACUCUGUUAUUAGGGAAGAACAAAUGUGUAAGUAACUAUGCACGUCUUGACGGUACCUAAUCAGAAAGCCACGGCUAACUACGUG